AUUGAACGCUGGCGGCAGGCCUAACACAUGCAAGUCGAACGAGAGGAGGACAGGUGAGUAAUGUCUGAUCAACUGGCUGAUGGAGGGGGCUAACUACUGGAACAGGUAGCUACUACCGCCUAGCAACGGAUGUGCGCGUAUUGGAUUAGCGAGUAGGUGGGGUAAUGGCUCACCUAGGCGACGAUCCAUAGCUGUCCUGAGAGGGUGACCAGCAACACUGGAACUGAGAAACGGGCCAGACUCCUACGGGAGGCAGCAGUGGGGAAUAUUGCACAAUGGCGGCAAGCCUGAUGCAGCCAUGCCGCGUGAGUGAAGAAGGCCUUCGGGUUGUAAAGCACUUGCAGCGAGGAGGCGUUACUCGCAGAGGAAGCACCGGCUAACUACGUGCCAGCCGCCGCGGUAAUAC
This 406-nucleotide ribosomal RNA is filed under the name uncultured bacterium. Its description in RNAcentral is "partial 16S ribosomal RNA". It matches the Rfam family "Bacterial small subunit ribosomal RNA", at positions 30 to 526 of the family's 1533-position model. The record is from RNAcentral.